Molecule: long non-coding RNA, 271 nt
Filed under: Phasianus colchicus (ring-necked pheasant)
Lineage: Eukaryota; Metazoa; Chordata; Aves; Galliformes; Phasianidae
Description: lncRNA (ENSPCLG00000003766.1)
Source: RNAcentral
GUUAGAGAAGAGGAAUUUGAAAUGUUGCUUGGAAAUGGGCCUGGUAGACAGGAACAAAAGAGUUCCUGCUGAAAUCCCCGAAGCUGUCACUCCAAAGAGCAGUCUUGAUCACUCUAGACUGUACGCAUGAGAACAUGUAUUGUGGUUGUCAACUGGCCAUCGAACCUUGGAUGAUCCACCACUACCAAAGAUCAGCAUCCCCUGACAUCAAGAGCCCUCUCGAGGAAUUUCUCUGAAACAGAUUCACAAAUGCCUGUGUGACAGAGCUCCC